AUUCCAGCUCCAAUAGCGUAUAUUAAAGUUGUUGCAGUUAAAAAGCUCGUAGUUGGAUUUGGGACUGGAGUCGUCGGGUCGGCCGCGAGGUCUGUUACUUGGCGGCUCUGUCAUUACAAUUCCCAGAGACCUGUCGUGUGCUUCACUGUACGCGGCAAGGGAUUUGGGACGUUUACUUUGAAAAAAUUAGAGUGUUCAAAGCAGGCUUUUACAGCCCGAAUACAUGAGCAUGGAAUAAUGGAAUAGGACCGCGGUUCUAUUUUGUUGGUUUCUACGACCGCAGUAAUGAUUAAGAGGGACAGUCAGGGGCACUCGUAUUCCGCCGAGAGAGGUGAAAUUCUCAGACCAGCGGAGGACGAACCACUGCGAAAGCAUUUGCCAGGGAUGUUUUCAUCA
RNAcentral lists this ribosomal RNA (396 nucleotides) under Obelia sp. RNAcentral describes it as "partial small subunit ribosomal RNA". It matches the Rfam family "Eukaryotic small subunit ribosomal RNA", at positions 582 to 975 of the family's 1831-position model. Lineage: Eukaryota; Metazoa; Cnidaria; Hydrozoa; Leptothecata; Obeliidae. The record is from RNAcentral.